This 497-nucleotide ribosomal RNA is filed under the name uncultured bacterium. RNAcentral's name for it is "partial 16S ribosomal RNA". It matches the Rfam family "Bacterial small subunit ribosomal RNA", at positions 28 to 507 of the family's 1533-position model. The record is from RNAcentral.
GAUGAACGCUGGCGGCGUGCCUAAUACAUGCAAGUCGAGCGAACAGACGAGGAACUUGCUCCUCUGACGUUAGCGGCGGACGGGUGAGUAACACGUGGAUAACCUACCUAUAAGACUGGGAUAACUUCGGGAAACCGGAGCUAAUACCGGAUAAUAUAUUGAACCGCAUGGUUCAAUAGUGAAAGACGGUUUUGCUGUCACUUAUAGAUGGAUCCGCGCCGCAUUAGCUAGUUGGUAAGGUAACGGCCUACCAAGGCGACGAUGCGUAGCCGACCUGAGAGGGUGAUCAGCCACACUGGAACUGAGACACGGUCCAGACUCCUACGGGAGGAAGCAGUAGGGAAUCUUCCGCAAUGGGCGAAAGCCUGACGGAGCAACGCCGCGUGAGUGAUGAAGGUCUUCGGUUCGUAAAACUCUGUUAUUAGGGAAGAACAAAAGUGGAAGUAACUAUGCACGUCUUGACGGUACCUAAACAGAAAGCCACGGCUAACUACGUG